CGAAUAGUUUUCAAUUUAAAAACUGUUCGAAUACACCGAAUUAUUUCAGAACUAUCGAAUAUUCGAAUAAUUCAGAACUAUUGAAUAAUUCGAUUAUUCGAAUACUUCAGAACUAUCCAAUAUUUGAAAUACUAUCGAAUUAUUCGAUAGUCAUUAUUCGAUAGAGCCCAUCACUUCUAAUAACCAACACAUUUAGAUAAUAAACAAAUAAUAAUAUUGGCAUUGUCUUAUUCUGUGUAAUUGGUUACAUCUUUUUACAUGAAGGAAUAACUAGGAUUUGUAUAUCUGCACGUCGCUUCUUCCGCUAUAUACUGACUACCUACUGACUUGUGACUACUCAACUAGUGGCUGCUGCAGAAUUCCGAGCAGAGUACAACUCGCUGUUUGCUUUUCCACUGUGAGCGUCUGAUGUUGUGAUGUUCAUGAUUUCGAUGCAGGGAUAACUACGAUUUGCAUAUCUCGUCUAUACUAUACUAUCUACUAACUUGUGAUAACAAGUGGCUGUUGCAGAAUUCUGAGCAGAGUGCAGCUUGCUGUUUGCCUUAGCACUGCGUGCGUUUGAUGUUCAUGGUUAGGUCUCAUUACGUUAAAUAUUCAGAAUUUCAUUUUGGGAAUAACCUACCUACAUUACCAUUUAGUGGUGUAAAAGUAUUUACCAUUCGAGGCUGCUGAUUAUAUGAUUAAUUUGCACUUGUAACCACUGAACGGACAUAUAAUGGAUUUUGAUCCUCAUUGUGCUGUACCAGGAUGUAUGACUAAUACUGAUGUAGAGGAGAAUGAAGAUAUCAACUUUUUCCAACCUUCAACAGAAAAUGUAUAUGGUUGGAGUUUAUCAUUAGGUUGCCAGUUGACCGUAAACAGUUAUGUGUGUCAACGACACUUCAGAAUUGAAGAUAUUUUACAUCCAAAAUUAUUAGUAAAUGGGUAAAUUCGAACAGUAAAAGUAUUAGUACGUUCUGCUUUGCCAAUACCAAUGGAUGCUGCUGAGGAGUAGUAUUGUGCAAACAAACCCUCCUCCGCUGUCGCUUCAAACUGGAAAAAUAUAAAAAUAAAAAUAAAUACCAAUUAAUGAUACCCAAUCAGCUUUUUUUUUUAGAUUAAAUAUUUUUACUUAAAUUUAAGUUUUUCACAUGCUUAUUUGAGUUCUUAUAAUGAUGUUUUUAAGCGCUUAUUUUAAUGAUGUUUAGGACUACAAUUCCCAAGCCCUGGUUAUAACUAUAAUACUAUUAACACUACUUUAUUACUUAUAUAAAUUAGUUAAGAUUGGCAUAUCAAAUGAGAAGAUACGAUUUAACUUGCCGCUAUCAUAAUUUAAACACAUAUAUUUAUAUUUUAUUUUUUUUUUUUACUUUAAAUAUUACAUUUUUAUUUAUGUGAUCAACUUUAUUUUGAUAAUACAAAUAAAAUAAAUAUGUAGCAAAAAUACAACUAUUUAACUAUUUUCCAUGAGGGGGGGGGGGGCAAAACAUAAAAUACGUAACAAUAACUAUUAUAAUAUAUUUAUUUGUGAUUUAUAACAGAAAACCGUUCUUAAUAUUUUAUUAUUUUAAUGCAGAUAGUAUAUUUUAGUAUAAGAAUUAUAUAAAUGUAUUGAUAUGAUAUAAUUAUGUAGGGCGUAGGCAGUAUAAUAUAUAUAAAUAUAAAUAUGUUAUAGGUAUCUGGUAUUUAUACAUUUAUAUAUUGAUACAAAACAUAAAACAUACCUAUUUACUUUAUACCUGUAAAAGUAAAAAGUAAAAAUAUAUAAAUAAAAAUUACUCAAUAUGUUAACUAUGUAUUGUAGUGUCAUAAUAAUAAAUAAUAAAUUGAUAGUAAUAAUAAUAACAAUAUUACGCACAUUCAUACAUUCAUGAAAAUUAGACCAAUUUUGAAUGCGUAAACUACAAUAAAUUAAACGUAAUCUACGAUUGUAUACCCAUUAGUUUUAAUGUAGUUGGGGGGACUUUUGCAGAUUAUAUCUGAGUGGUCAAUUGCCCCCUCGGCCCCCCCUUCUCCGACGCCACAAAGAAUAGGUAUGUUACAAUGGAAGAACCAAUAAAAAUAAUAUAUCAAUUUAUUAAUUGUUCGAAUAUCUCCAUGACCAUCGGCCACUAUCAGGACGGAUCCAUGGGGGGGGGGGGGGGGCUAGGACCCAGCCCCCCCUAGACAUAUUUUUUACAAAUAUAAAUAUUAUAAAUUAUAUUAAAUAACAAAUAAACAAAUUCUAAACAUCUUUUCACAUUGUCGCUUUAUAUAUUAAUAAUAAUCAAUAAUUUAUUUAUCACAUUGAUUACCUAUA
Metopolophium dirhodum (rose-grain aphid) is the source of this 2278-nucleotide long non-coding RNA. RefSeq lists it as uncharacterized. The transcript has 7 exons. The record is from RefSeq and is a predicted model, not a curated record. Lineage: Eukaryota; Metazoa; Arthropoda; Insecta; Hemiptera; Aphididae.